RNAcentral lists this long non-coding RNA (3726 nucleotides) under Xyrichtys novacula (pearly razorfish). The stretch from base 86 to 183 matches the Rfam family "tRNA". Lineage: Eukaryota; Metazoa; Chordata; Actinopteri; Labriformes; Labridae. The record is from RNAcentral.
UUUCAUUGACCAUGGGUUGGAAUAGUUCUGUGGGCAUAGUGUGUCUUCGAAGCCACUAUGUUUUCUGCACUUGUGACUAGAGAGCACCUUGAUAGCUCAGUUGGUAGAGCGGUGGACUGUAAGAUGCUCCUUGUGUGAAACGCUGUGAUCCUAAGGUCGCUGGUUCAACUCCAGCUCCAAGCACCUCCUUGUCAUUGGAAAUACCCCCAAGCCUUGUCUUUAUCUGUCAACUCCUCCAAAAUGUCAAAACACAAAGAAGAUAACUCUUUCUUAAAUUUUCAACCAUCAAUUUUUUAUUCACUCAGCCUAAAAGUCCUGAUUAUCAGUUCUGGGUCCCUGGCAAUGACUGUUGGGUACAAACUGCAAAGCUUUGUUCUGCAGGUAGGGCUGGGCUUUUCAUUGACCAUGGGUUGGAAUAGUUCUGUGGGCAUAGUGUGUCUUCGAAGCCACUAUGUUUUCUGCACUUGUGACUAGAGAGCACCUUGAUAGCUCAGUUGGUAGAGCGGUGGACUGUAAGAUGCUCCUUGUGUGAAACGCUGUGAUCCUAAGGUCGCUGGUUCAACUCCAGCUCCAAGCACCUCCUUGUCAUUGGAAAUACCCCCAAGCCUUGUCUUUAUCUGUCAACUCCUCCAAAAUGUCAAAACACAAACAAGAUAACUCUUUCUUAAAUUUUCAACCAUCAAUUUUUUAUUCACCCAGCCUAAAAGUCCUGAUUAUCAGUUCUGGGUCCCUGGCAAUGACUGUUGGGUACAAACUGCAAAGCUUUGUUCUGCAGGUAGGGCUGGGCUUUUCAUUGACCAUGGGUUGGAAUAGUUCUGUGGGCAUAGUGUGUCUUCGAAGCCACUAUGUUUUCUGCACUUGUGACUAGAGAGCACCUUGAUAGCUCAGUUGGUAGAGCGGUGGACUGUAAGAUGCUCCUUGUGUGAAACGCUGUGAUCCUAAGGUCGCUGGUUCAACUCCAGCUCCAAGCACCUCCUUGUCAUUGGAAAUACCCCCAAGCCUUGUCUUUAUCUGUCAACUCCUCCAAAAUGUCAAAACACAAAGAAGAUAACUCUUUCUUAAAUUUUCAACCAUCAAUUUUUUAUUCACUCAGCCUAAAAGUCCUGAUUAUCAGUUCUGGGUCCCUGGCAAUGACUGUUGGGUACAAACUGCAAAGCUUUGUUCUGCAGGUAGGGCUGGGCUUUUCAUUGACCAUGGGUUGGAAUAGUUCUGUGGGCAUAGUGUGUCUUCGAAGCCACUAUGUUUUCUGCACUUGUGACUAGAGAGCACCUUGAUAGCUCAGUUGGUAGAGCGGUGGACUGUAAGAUGCUCCUUGUGAGAAACGCUGUGAUCCUAAGGUCGCUGGUUCAACUCCAGCUCCAAGCACCUCCUUGUCAUUGGAAAUACCCCCAAGCCUUGUCUUUAUCUGUCAACUCCUCCAAAAUGUCAAAACACAAACAAGAUAACUCUUUCUUAAAUUUUCAACCAUCAAUUUUUUAUUCACCCAGCCUAAAAGUCCUGAUUAUCAGUUCUGGGUCCCUGGCAAUGACUGUUGGGUACAAACUGCAAAGCUUUGUUCUGCAGGUAGGGCUGGGCUUUUCAUUGACCAUGGGUUGGAAUAGUUCUGUGGGCAUAGUGUGUCUUCGAAGCCACUAUGUUUUCUGCACUUGUGACUAGAGAGCACCUUGAUAGCUCAGUUGGUAGAGCGGUGGACUGUAAGAUGCUCCUUGUGUGAAACGCCGUGAUCCUAAGGUCGCUGGUUCAACUCCAGCUCCAAGCACCUCCUUGUCAUUGGAAAUACCCCCAAGCCUUGUCUUUAUCUGUCAACUCCUCCAAAAUGUCAAAACACAAAGAAGAUAACUCUUUCUUAAAUUUUCAACCAUCAAUUUUUUAUUCACUCAGCCUAAAAGUCCUGAUUAUCAGUUCUGGGUCCCUGGCAAUGACUGUUGGGUACAAACUGCAAAGCUUUGUUCUGCAGGUAGGGCUGGGCUUUUCAUUGACCAUGGGUUGGAAUAGUUCUGUGGGCAUAGUGUGUCUUCGAAGCCACUAUGUUUUCUGCACUUGUGACUAGAGAGCACCUUGAUAGCUCAGUUGGUAGAGCGGUUGGACUGUAAGAUGCUCCUUGUGUGAAACGCUGUGAUCCUAAGGUCGCUGGUUCAACUCCAGCUCCAAGCACCUCCUUGUCAUUGGAAAUACCCCCAAGCCUUGUCUUUAUCUGUCAACUCCUCCAAAAUGUCAAAACACAAAGAAGAUAACUCUUUCUUAAAUUUUCAACCAUCAAUUUUUUAUUCACUCAGCCUAAAAGUCCUGAUUAUCAGUUCUGGGUCCCUGGCAAUGACUGUUGGGUACAAACUGCAAAGCUUUGUUCUGCAGGUAGGGCUGGGCUUUUCAUUGACCAUGGGUUGGAAUAGUUCUGUGGGCAUAGUGUGUCUUCGAAGCCACUAUGUUUUCUGCACUUGUGACUAGAGAGCACCUUGAUAGCUCAGUUGGUAGAGCGGUGGACUGUAAGAUGCUCCUUGUGUGAAACGCUGUGAUCCUAAGGUCGCUGGUUCAACUCCAGCUCCAAGCACCUCCUUGUCAUUGGAAAUACCCCCAAGCCUUGUCUUUAUCUGUCAACUCCUCCAAAAUGUCAAAACACAAACAAGAUAACUCUUUCUUAAAUUUUCAACCAUCAAUUUUUUAUUCACCCAGCCUAAAAGUCCUGAUUAUCAGUUCUGGGUCCCUGGCAAUGACUGUUGGGUACAAACUGCAAAGCUUUGUUCUGCAGGUAGGGCUGGGCUUUUCAUUGACCAUGGGUUGGAAUAGUUCUGUGGGCAUAGUGUGUCUUCGAAGCCACUAUGUUUUCUGCACUUGUGACUAGAGAGCACCUUGAUAGCUCAGUUGGUAGAGCGGUGGCCUGUAAGAUGCUCCUUGUGUGAAACGCCGUGAUCCUAAGGUCGCUGGUUCAACUCCAGCUCCAAGCACCUCCUUGUCAUUGGAAAUACCCCCAAGCCUUGUCUUUAUCUGUCAACUCCUCCAAAAUGUCAAAACACAAACAAGAUAACUCUUUCUUAAAUUUUCAACCAUCAAUUUUUUAUUCACCCAGCCUAAAAGUCCUGAUUAUCAGUUCUGGGUCCCUGGCAAUGACUGUUGGGUACAAACUGCAAAGCUUUGUUCUGCAGGUAGGGCUGGGCUUUUCAUUGACCAUGGGUUGGAAUAGUUCUGUGGGCAUAGUGUGUCUUCGAAGCCACUAUGUUUUCUGCACUUGUGACUAGAGAGCACCUUGAUAGCUCAGUUGGUAGAGCGGUGGACUGUAAGAUGCUCCUUGUGUGAAACGCUGUGAUCCUAAGGUCGCUGGUUCAACUCCAGCUCCAAGCACCUCCUUGUCAUUGGAAAUACCCCCAAGCCUUGUCUUUAUCUGUCAACUCCUCCAAAAUGUCAAAACACAAACAAGAUAACUCUUUCUUAAAUUUUCAACCAUCAAUUUUUUAUUCACCCAGCCUAAAAGUCCUGAUUAUCAGUUCUGGGUCCCUGGCAAUGACUGUUGGGUACAAACUGCAAAGCUUUGUUCUGCAGGUAGGGCUGGGCUUUUCAUUGACCAUGGGUUGGAAUAGUUCUGUGGGCAUAGUGUGUCUUUGAAGCCACUAUGUUUUCUGCACUUGUGACUAGAGAGCACCUUGAUAGCUCAGUUGGUAGAGCGGUGGACUGUAAGAUGCUCCUUGUGUGAAAAGCUGUGAUCCUAAGGUCGCUGGUUCAACUCCAGCUCCA